Molecule: transfer RNA, 57 nt
Filed under: Perkinsus marinus ATCC 50983
Lineage: Eukaryota; Perkinsozoa; Perkinsida; Perkinsidae
Rfam family: tRNA
About the family: Transfer RNA (tRNA) molecules are approximately 80 nucleotides in length. Their secondary structure includes four short double-helical elements and three loops (D, anti-codon, and T loops).
Source: Rfam by way of RNAcentral
UGGCAGAGCGUCUGUUUUGUAAGCAGAAGGUCGUCAGUUCAAUCCUGGCAAGUGGCU